AAGAUUUACCGGGACCGGACCGGACCGGAACGGAACGGAACCGGAAUGAACCGGUACCGGUAUACCGGUACCAAAUCAUGGUACCGUUCCGUUCUGUGUACCGGUUCAAUGUAUCCCAUCCCGUCCCGAAUACUACCGGACCGGAACGGACCGUAAUGGUACCGGUACAACCCGUUCCGGUGCCCAGCCUUACCCAACACUCCACUUUGUGGGAUUACACUGGGUAUGUUGUCGUCUUUUUAUCAACUGAGCAGGAAAAGACAUUUACAUUUAGUUGGAGAAUCUUGAGGUAUUCCAGAUGAAUAUAAAUCAAAGGCACACUAAAAUGAAAAUGUGUAAUCAAAUUUUUGGGUUCUCUCUCUUAGCAAUUAUACCAGAGUUUUUGGUUGCUAAUUCUAUGGUAAAGAUUAGUCUAUGAAAGUGUAUGCCUCUUGUGACAGCUCUAAACUGUUAUUCUUGUCUCCAAGUAUCAUUUCUUAAUGAUUCAUUGCGCUCUUAAUCAACAUCUUUGUAACUAAACAUUCACAAAUGUAAUAUAGCAACUGCAAAGUUAAUUGACACUUUGUCAUUCUGAGAUAUAUCAACAUUAACCUUGAUUCCUUCCAAAUCUUGUAUUUCCCCCAAUGAAGACAUUGUUUCCUUAAUUUCUGCUGUCUUGAGUGCUAGCUUUUUGAUUAACUACAAACCAAGAUUUCAAAUUAUCAAAAUAAGUGUGUUUGUUGUUUGAUCUUUUUUUUGUCUGGGAGGGUGCUUCCAUGCAAGAGGUUUGGAUUUUUACCGAGAACUAAUGUGAUCUUUGCGCUCUAUUACUCAUCCUUUGUUGGAGCGUCAUUACUCUUUGUGAGAAUAACAUGUGUAGCUCUGGGAGGUUGAAAGUCAUGCUUGUGGUCUUCAGAAGGACUAAAGAACACAUGGUUCAUCAGUUCUUGAAGAUGCUGUUGCAGGUGUAGAGUUCCAAACUACUUUCAUUUCAGAACUCGAGCUUGGAGGUAAAAGAGAGGAUAUGUAUGUACA
Long non-coding RNA from Solanum tuberosum (potato), 1014 nucleotides. RefSeq lists it as uncharacterized. The record is from RefSeq and is a predicted model, not a curated record. The transcript is spliced from 2 exons. Lineage: Eukaryota; Viridiplantae; Streptophyta; Magnoliopsida; Solanales; Solanaceae.